UACGAAGGGGGCUAGCGUUGCUCGGAAUCACUGGGCGUAAAGCGCACGUAGGCGGAUCUUUAAGUCGGUGGUGAAAUCCUGGAGCUCAACUCCAGAACUGCCUUCGAUACUGAGAGUCUUGAGUCCGGGAGAGGUGAGUGGAACUGCGAGUGUAGAGGUGAAAUUCGUAGAUAUUCGCAAGAACACCAGUGGCGAAGGCGGCUCACUGGCCCGGUACUGACGCUGAGGUGCGAAAGCGUGGGGAGCAAACAGG
Molecule: ribosomal RNA, 253 nt
Filed under: uncultured bacterium
Lineage: Bacteria
Description: partial 16S ribosomal RNA
Rfam family: Bacterial small subunit ribosomal RNA
Source: RNAcentral